Molecule: ribosomal RNA, 128 nt
Filed under: Cryptoperidiniopsis brodyi
Lineage: Eukaryota; Dinophyceae; Peridiniales; Pfiesteriaceae
Description: partial small subunit ribosomal RNA
Source: RNAcentral
UUGACACGUUGAAGUGAAGGAGCGAAAACCCUGGCGGGUUCUCGGGCGACGAAUCGUGCAAGCACGCAUCUCAUCGCUCGCCGUCGAUAUGUUUUUGCACCCUUUGUCAUCACUCUUUCAUUGGCUGU